UCGAUCAAAUCGAUCUUUUUG
RNAcentral lists this non-coding RNA (21 nucleotides) under Caenorhabditis elegans. Lineage: Eukaryota; Metazoa; Nematoda; Chromadorea; Rhabditida; Rhabditidae. The record is from RNAcentral.